RNAcentral lists this ribosomal RNA (407 nucleotides) under uncultured bacterium. Its description in RNAcentral is "partial 16S ribosomal RNA". It matches the Rfam family "Bacterial small subunit ribosomal RNA", at positions 30 to 526 of the family's 1533-position model. The record is from RNAcentral.
AUUGAACGCUGGCGGCAUGCCUAACACAUGCAAGUCGAGCGGAGCGGCGGACGGGUGAGUCAUGCCUAGGAAUCUGCCUGGUAGUGGGGGAUAACGUCCGGAAACGGGCGCUCAUACCGCAUACUAUCAGAUGAGCCUAGGUCGGAUUCGCUAGUUGGUGGGGUAAAGGCCUACCAAGGCGACGAUCCGUAACUGGUCUGAGAGGAGGAACAGUCACACUGGAACUGAGACAGGGCCCAGACGCCAACGGGAGGCAGCAGUGGGGAAUAUUGGACAAUGGGCGAAAGCCUGAGCCAGCCAGUCCGCGGGUGUGAAGAAGGUCUUCGGAUUGUAAAGCACUUUAAGUUGGGAGGCGUUACCAACAGAAUAAGCACCGGCUAACUGCGUGCCAGCCGCCGCGGUAAUAC